This 497-nucleotide ribosomal RNA is filed under the name uncultured bacterium. RNAcentral's name for it is "partial 16S ribosomal RNA". It matches the Rfam family "Bacterial small subunit ribosomal RNA", at positions 28 to 507 of the family's 1533-position model. The record is from RNAcentral.
GAUGAACGUUGGCGGCGUGCCUAAUACAUGCGAGUCGAGCGAACGGACGAGAAGCUUGCUUCUCUGAUGUUAGCGGCGGACGGGUGAGUAACACGUGGAUAACCUACCUAUAAGACUGGGAUAACUUCGGGAAACCGGAGCUAAUACCGGAUAAUAUUUUGAACCGCAUGGUUCAAAAGUGAAAGACGGUCUUGCUGUCACUUAUAGAUGGAUCCGCGCUGCAUUAGCUAGUUGGUAAGGUAACGGCUUACCAAGGCAACGAUGCAUAGCCGACCUGAGAGGGUGAUCGGCCACACUGGAACUGAGACACGGUCCAGACUCCUACGGGAGGCAGCAGUAGGGAAUCUUCCGCAAUGGGCGAAAGCCUGACGGAGCAACGCCGCGUGAGUGAUGAAGGUCUUCGGAUCGUAAAACUCUGUUAUUAGGGAAGAACAUAUGUGUAAGUAACUGUGCACAUCUUGACGGUACCUAAUCAGAAAGCCACGGCUAACUACGUG